This is a long non-coding RNA of Nomascus leucogenys (northern white-cheeked gibbon), 657 nucleotides long. RefSeq lists it as uncharacterized. The record is from RefSeq and is a predicted model, not a curated record. The transcript has 3 exons. NCBI's taxonomy places the organism in Eukaryota, Metazoa, Chordata, Mammalia, Primates, Hylobatidae.
GAUGGCGCCCAAACCUGUAGGCUGUGGGCGGUGCAGGAGGGAUCCGGAAGAGACGAGGCAGGAAGAAACUCCUGGUCCUUUCGCUUUUAAGGAACGUGGCACCUAGACAGGAUGGAGAAAUGACAUCUGGAGAGGGGAGUUCACACAUCAUAUACACUGAAAGCUGCCCGUCAAAAGAGUUGCAGAACCAGGACUACAGCCCUUACAUCUGGACUGCCAGUACGAUGCAGUCUUCAAUCUGGUCCAGAGUUUGAGCCCCACCUCUGGAGUUGAGUCCUGCCUUCUACCUCAAUGUGACAAAUGUUGGCCAAUGGUAUGUCAGCAGCUGUGAUGCAAGCAGAGGCUUGGUAAAUGCCUGCACACUGGGGUUUGUCCUCUUGGAAUGUUCAUUCUUGGGAGCCCUGAACAACAAUGUAAGAAGUCUGGCUAUCCUGCUGGAGAGAACACAUGGAGAGAACACAUGGUGGGAAGAGACUAAAAUUAUGUGAAGAGAGUCAGGCCAGCCAUCCCAGCUUCUCUGUUGAGCCCAGCCAUCAGCCAACCUGCCAGCUGAAUGCAACCAUAAGAGUGAUCACCAGCAAGAUCACUAGAAAAACCACCUAACUGAGCCCAGCCUGGAUUGAACAAUCACAAACAAAUAAAAUGGUUAUUGUUUUA